RNAcentral lists this ribosomal RNA (387 nucleotides) under uncultured bacterium. RNAcentral's name for it is "bacterial SSU rRNA". It matches the Rfam family "Bacterial small subunit ribosomal RNA", at positions 28 to 416 of the family's 1533-position model. The record is from RNAcentral.
GAUGAACGCUGGCGGCGUGCCUAAUACAUGCAAGUCGAACGGGGAGUAGCAAUACUUCUAGUGGCGAACGGGUGAGUAACGCGUUGGUGACCUGCCCCGAAGCGUGGGAUACCAAUCCGAAAGGAUUGCUAAUACCGCAUGGAGUUCUCGAGAUUAGAGGCUUGGGAACGAAAGGAGACAUUCACUUCGGGAGGGGCCUGCGUCCCAUCAGCUAGUUGGUGAGGUAACGGCUCACCAAGGCGAUGACGGGUAGGGGACCUGAGAGGGUGGCCCCCCCACAAUGGAACUGAAACACGGUCCAUACACCUACGGGUGGCAGCAGUAGGGAAUAUUGCAAAAUAAGGCGCAAGCCCGACUGCAGCAACGACCGCGUGGACGAUGAAGGCC